UACAGAGGGUGCAAGCGUUAAUCGGAGUUACUGGGCGUAAAGGGCGCGUAGGCGGUUAUUUUAGUUUGAUGUGAAAUCCCUGGGCUUAACCUAGGAACUGCAUUAAAUACUGGAUAACUGGAGUACUGUAGAGGGUAGUGGAAUUUCCGGUGUAGCGGUGAAAUGCGUAGAGAUCGGAAGGAACAUCAGUGGCGAAGGCGGCUACCUGGACAGAUACUGACGCUGAGGCGCGAGAGCGUGGGGAGCAAACAGG
Molecule: ribosomal RNA, 253 nt
Filed under: uncultured bacterium
Lineage: Bacteria
Description: partial 16S ribosomal RNA
Rfam family: Bacterial small subunit ribosomal RNA
Source: RNAcentral